GACGAACGCUGGCGGCGUGCUUAACACAUGCAAGUCGAACGGAAAGGCCCUGCUUUUGUGGGGUGCUCGAGUGGCGUACGGGUGAGUAACACGUGAGUAACCUGCCCUUGACUUUGGGAUAACUUCAGGAAACUGGGGCUAAUACCGGAUAGGAGCUCCUGCUUCAUGGUGGGGGUUGGAAAGUUUCGGCGGUUGGGGAUGGACUCGCGGCUUAUCAGCUUGUUGGUGGGGUAGUGGCUUACCAAGGCUUUGACGGGUAGCCGGCCUGAGAGGGUGACCGGCCACAUUGGGACUGAGAUACGGCCCAGACUCCUACGGGAGGCAGCAGUGGGGAAUAUUGCACAAUGGGCGGAAGCCUGAUGCAGCAACGCCGCGUGCGGGAUGACGGCCUUCGGGUUGUAAACCGCUUUCGCCUGUGACGAAGCGUGAGUGACGGUAAUGGGUAAAGAAGCACCGGCUAACUACGUG
Molecule: ribosomal RNA, 468 nt
Filed under: uncultured bacterium
Lineage: Bacteria
Description: partial 16S ribosomal RNA
Rfam family: Bacterial small subunit ribosomal RNA
Source: RNAcentral